GGAGCGGUGGCAGAGUCUGGCUGAAUGCAGCCGCCUUGAAAGCGGCCGACCGAGAGGUCCGGGGGUUCGAAUCCCUCCCGCUCCG
This 85-nucleotide transfer RNA is filed under the name Acidobacteriota bacterium. RNAcentral describes it as "Acidobacteria bacterium tRNA-Ser". It matches the Rfam family "tRNA". From Rfam's summary of the family: Transfer RNA (tRNA) molecules are approximately 80 nucleotides in length. The record is from RNAcentral. Lineage: Bacteria; Pseudomonadati; Acidobacteriota.